Molecule: ribosomal RNA, 387 nt
Filed under: uncultured bacterium
Lineage: Bacteria
Description: bacterial SSU rRNA
Rfam family: Bacterial small subunit ribosomal RNA
Source: RNAcentral
AUUGAACGCUGGCGGCAUGCUUUACACAUGCAAGUCGAACGGUAACAGGGAGCUUGCUCCGCUGACGAGUGGCGAACGGGUGAGUAAUGCAUCGGAACAUGCCCAGUCAUGGGGGAUAACUACGCGAAAGCGUAGCUAAUACCGCAUACGCCCUGAGGGGGAAAGUGGGGGAUCUUAGGACCUCACGUGAUUGGAGUGGCCGAUGUCAGAUUAGCUAGUUGGUGAGGUAAAGGUUCACCAAGGCGACGAUCUGUAGCGGGUCUGAGAGGAUGAUCCGCCACACUGGGACUGAGACACGGCCCAGACUCCUACGGGAGGCAGCAGUGGGGAAUUUUGGACAAUGGGCGCAAGCCUGAUCCAGCCAUGCCGCGUGAGUGAAGAAGGCCU